CCUACGUGGGGCUGCAGUGGGGAAUAUUGGACAAUGGGCGAAAGCCUGAUCCAGCCAUGCCGCGUGUGUGAAGAAGGCCUUCGGGUUGUAAAGCACUUUCAGUGGGGAAGAAAGCCUUGGGGCUAAUACCCUCGAGGAAGGACAUCACCCACAGAAGAAGCACCGGCUAACUCCGUGCCAGCAGCCGCGGUAAUACGGAGGGUGCGAGCGUUAAUCGGAAUUACUGGGCGUAAAGCGCGCGUAGGCGGUCUGAUAAGCCGGUUGUGAAAGCCCCGGGCUCAACCUGGGAACGGCAUCCGGAACUGUCAGGCUAGAGUGCAGGAGAGGAAGGUAGAAUUCCCGGUGUAGCGGUGAAAUGCGUAGAGAUCGGGAGGAAUACCAGUGGCGAAGGCGGCCUUCUGGACUGACACUGACGCUGAGGUGCGAAAGCGUGGGUAGCAAACAGGAUUAGAUACCCCGGUAGUC
Molecule: ribosomal RNA, 465 nt
Filed under: Vreelandella stevensii
Lineage: Bacteria; Pseudomonadati; Pseudomonadota; Gammaproteobacteria; Oceanospirillales; Halomonadaceae
Description: partial 16S ribosomal RNA
Rfam family: Bacterial small subunit ribosomal RNA
Source: RNAcentral